Molecule: ribosomal RNA, 550 nt
Filed under: Salmonella enterica
Lineage: Bacteria; Pseudomonadati; Pseudomonadota; Gammaproteobacteria; Enterobacterales; Enterobacteriaceae
Also listed under: 1 other name
Description: partial 23S ribosomal RNA
Rfam family: Bacterial large subunit ribosomal RNA
Source: RNAcentral
CGUAUCACCCAAGACAACUUUACGGAGUUGACGAUUGACGGAGCGAAGCGACGUCAAAGCGUUCAUUAAAGUCGAGUUGGCUUAGGGAUACGUUCGUUGGGUAGGGGAGCGUUCUGUAAGCCUGUGAAGGUGUGUCGUGAGGCAUGCUGGAGGUAUCAGAAGUGCGAAUGCUGACAUAAGUAACGAUAAAGCGGGUGAAAAGCCCGCUCGCCGGAAGACCAAGGGUUCCUGUCCAACGUUAAUCGGGGCAGGGUGAGUCGACCCCUAAGGCGAGGCCGAAAGGCGUAGUCGAUGGGAAACGGGUUAAUAUUCCCGUACUUGGUGUUACUGCGAAGGGGGGACGGAGAAGGCUAUGUUGGCCGGGCGACGGUUGUCCCGGUUUAAGCGUGUAGGUGUGUGUUCCAGGUAAAUCCGGUUCACUUUAACACUGAGGCGUGACGACGAGGCACUACGGUGCUGAAGCAACAAAUGCCCUGCUUCCAGGAAAAGCCUCUAAGCAUCAGGUAACACGAAAUCGUACCCCAAACCGACACAGGUGGUCAGGUAGAGA